AUUGAACGCUGGCGACAUGCCUUACACAUGCAAGUCGAACGGUAACAGGUCUUCGGAUGCUGACGAGUGGCGAACGGGUGAGUAAUACAUCGGAGCGUGCCCGAUCGUGGGGGAUAACGAGGCGAAAGCUUUGCUAAUACCGCAUACGAUCUACGGAUGAAAGCGGGGGAUCUUCGGACCUCGCGCGGACGGAGCGGCCGAUGGCAGAUUAGGUAGUUGGUGGGAUAAAAGCUUACCAAGCCGACGAUCUGUAGCUGGUCUGAGAGGAUGAUCAGCCACACUGGGACUGAGACACGGCCCAGACUCCUACGGGAGGCAGCAGUGGGGAAUUUUGGACAAUGGGCGAAAGCCUGAUCCAGCCAUGCCGCGUGCAGGAUGAAGGCCUUUGGGUUGUAAACUGCUUCUGUACGGAACGAAAAGCCUCUUUCUAAUAAAGAGGGGUCAUGACGGUACCGUAAGAAUAAGCACCGGCUAACUACGUG
This 482-nucleotide ribosomal RNA is filed under the name uncultured bacterium. RNAcentral's name for it is "partial 16S ribosomal RNA". It matches the Rfam family "Bacterial small subunit ribosomal RNA", at positions 30 to 507 of the family's 1533-position model. The record is from RNAcentral.